CCUACGGGAGGCAGCAGUGGGGAAUUUUGGACAAUGGGCGCAAGCCUGAUCCAGCUAUUCCGCGUGUGGGAUGACGUCUCUCGGGUUGUAAACCACUUUCGUAGAGAACGAAAAGGAGCUAUCGAAUAAAUAGCUCCGCUGACGGUACUCUAAGAAUAAGCACCGGCUAACUACGUGCCAGCAGCCGUGGUAAUACGUAGGGUGCGAGCGUUAAUCGGAUUGACUGGGCGAAAAGGGUGUGCAGGCGGCUGAGUAAGACAGAUGUGAAAUCCCCGGGCUUAACCUGGGAACCGCAUAUGUGACUGCAUGGCUGGAGUGCGGGAGAGGGAGGUGGAAUUCCAGGUGUAGCAGUGAAAUGCGUAGAUAUGUGGAAGAACACCGGUGGCGAAGGCAGCCUCCUGGGACGCGACUGACGCUGAUACACGAAAGCGUGGGGAGCGAACAGGAUUAGAUACCCGGGUAGUC
This 465-nucleotide ribosomal RNA is filed under the name uncultured bacterium. RNAcentral's name for it is "partial 16S ribosomal RNA". It matches the Rfam family "Bacterial small subunit ribosomal RNA", at positions 338 to 795 of the family's 1533-position model. The record is from RNAcentral.